AGAAAGGUCAAUUUCCCUUUCCAAACACGCAUCAAAAACGGUCUAAAUAUUUUCCCCCAAAUCUCGCAAUUACCUCAAAAAAACCCAAUCUCACUUCUCUCUUGCUCUCUGCAAAAACGAAAUGCUCUCAUCCUUCUGGCGUAAUCAAAAUACCAAAAUCAAUUAACCAAGAAAACCACAUCAUAGAUCGAUCUCCUCACCACACAUACAUCACAAUCUGUGUCCCCAAUUUCAAAGGAAGAUUUUUUACCAUACCACGAUAUUGAUAAUCGAGAUUUCAUCCAAGAAAUUAUUGGAGAUGGAGUAAACAAGAUUUCUUCCUGGCCAAGAAGCACCCUAUCAUGCAGGCCCAGCAAUUGUCUUAUCAUACGUUGCUUCUGGCAUUUCUGCAAUUCUCUCUGUUUUCUGCUAUACCGAAUUUGCAAUAGAAAUUCCAGUGGCUGGAGGAUCAUUUGCUUACCGAUGAAAGCUAUCGUUAGCCUACAAGGAGGGUGUUAACAGAGGGGAAUCUUCAAAAUCUGUCGAGAUAGUGGAGACGAAAAUGGAAAAUGCACGUACACCUUCGUGUCCAAUAACACGAUCUAUUACCAUUCUAUCAGACUCAACGACUCCCCAACUGCCAAGGAAGUGUUGAAGACCACCUCGGAUAAUUCCAUCCUUGUUCUUUCUUUGACAAGAAUUACUUGUAAUGCCAAAUGAUUAUAUUUGUGUGUUAAAUGUGACUGCCCAAUUUAUUUAGUCACCUUAAUUUUUGAAAUGUUACACUGAAAUUAACAUUGAAGGUGGUAGAAUUUUACUAAUUAUUUAUGCUGUAAUGUACUCAGUGGAAAGUCUGGUGACGUUAUUUUUUUGUUGGAUAGUUCACAUUUUGAUAAUCUUGAUCUUACAAGUAGCUAUUGGAUGAAUUAAACGCACCAGGAACAUUGCAAUGUAUUUUUGAUAGCUUAACUGUUAUGAUGUUAAUGAAUUUAUGUUAAGUCAAUUACUAUUGGUACAUCAUUUGCAGGCUAUGCAAUUCAAAUUUUAAUUAG
RNAcentral lists this long non-coding RNA (1031 nucleotides) under Olea europaea subsp. europaea. The record is from RNAcentral. Lineage: Eukaryota; Viridiplantae; Streptophyta; Magnoliopsida; Lamiales; Oleaceae.